This 71-nucleotide transfer RNA is filed under the name Hordeum vulgare. Its description in RNAcentral is "tRNA-OTHER". The record is from RNAcentral. Lineage: Eukaryota; Viridiplantae; Streptophyta; Magnoliopsida; Poales; Poaceae.
GUGACAGUGGCGCAGUGGUAGCGAGUGUGGGCAGUACCACGGGGUCCUCGGUUCGAACCAGAGACUUCCCA